UGCGUAGGGGGCAAGCGUUGUCCGGAAUCAUUGGGCGUAAAGAGCGUGUAGGCGGCUCGGUAAGUCCGCUGUGAAAGUCCAGGGCUCAACCCUGGAAUGCCGGUGGAAACUGUCGAGCUAGAGUCCAGAAGAGGCGAGUGGAAUUCCUGGUGUAGCGGUGAAAUGCGCAGAUAUCAGGAGGAACACCAAUGGCGAAGGCAGCUCGCUGGGACGGUACUGACGCUGAGACGCGAAAGCGUGGGGAGCAAACAGG
This 253-nucleotide ribosomal RNA is filed under the name uncultured bacterium. RNAcentral's name for it is "partial 16S ribosomal RNA". It matches the Rfam family "Bacterial small subunit ribosomal RNA", at positions 524 to 776 of the family's 1533-position model. The record is from RNAcentral.